This 253-nucleotide ribosomal RNA is filed under the name uncultured bacterium. Its description in RNAcentral is "partial 16S ribosomal RNA". It matches the Rfam family "Bacterial small subunit ribosomal RNA", at positions 524 to 776 of the family's 1533-position model. The record is from RNAcentral.
UACAGAGGUCUCGAGCGUUGUUCGGAUUCAUUGGGCGUAAAGGGUGCGUAGGUGGCGCUGUAAGUCGGGUGUGAAAUCCUGAGGCUUAACCUCGGAACUGCAUUCGAUACUGCGGCGCUUGAGGACUGGAGAGGAGACUGGAAUUCAUGGUGUAGCAGUGAAAUGCGUAGAGAUCAUGAGGAAGACCAGUGGCGAAGGCGGGUCUCUGGGACGGUACUGACGCUGAGACGCGAAAGCGUGGGGAGCGAACAGG